AAAACUCUAAGCGGUGGAUCACUCGGCUCAUGGGUCGAUGAAGAACGCAGCAAACUGUGCGUCAUCGUGUGAACUGCAGGACACAUGAACAUUGACAUUUUGAACGCAUAUCGCAGUCCAUGCUGUUAUGUACUUUAAUUAAUUUUAUAGAGCUGCUUGGACUACAUAUGGUUGAGGGUUGUAAGACUAUGCUAAUAAAUUUGUUUAUAAAUUUUAUAAGCAUCUGGUAUAUUAUUGGAUAAAAUAAUAAUUUUGUUAUUCAUAAUAUUAAAAAAUAUAUAUGAAAAACAUUAUCUCACAUUUGGAUGUGAAAAACGAAGAGAAAUAUUUUCUUUUUCGAUCAAGUAAUACUGAGAAAUGUCUAGCAUAAAAAAUUGAAUUAUUUUUCAUCUAGAAUUGUCUCUUAUUAAUGAUUCGGAAAUAUAAAAAACUUGGUUAUGUUUUAUUCUUCGUUGGUUCGUUUAAUGGAAAACACUUUGCUACAAGAAAUAAUGGAAAUUUUAUAACGACUUCAAUAAAAUGUUUUCAUCAUUAUAUAUAAAGAAUUAAUGGCAAGAAAAAGUUAUAUACAACCUCAACGCAUAUGGGACUACCCCCUGAAUUUAAGCAUAUUAAUUAGGGGAGGAAAGAAACUAACAAGGAUUUCCUUAGUAGCGGCGAGCGAAAAAAAAAAACAGUUCAGCACUAAGUCACUUUGUCUAUAUGGCAAAUGUGAGAUGCAGUGAAUUCUAGUAUGAGAAAUUAACGAUUUAAGUCCUUCUUAAAUGAGGCCAUUUACCCAUAGAGGGUGCCAGGCCCGUAUAACGUUAAUGAUUACUAGAUGAUGUUUCCAAAGAGUUGUGUUGCUUGAUAGUGCAGAACUAAGUGGGUGGUAAACUCCGAUAGUAAAUAAGUACCGUGAGGGAAAGUUAAAAAGAACUCUGAAUAGAGAGUUAAACAGUACGUGAAACUGCUUAGAGGUUAAGCGCGUUGAACCUGAAUAUCCGUUAUGGAAAAUUCAUCAUUAAAAUUGUAAUAUUUAAAUAAUAUUAUGAGGAUAGUGUGCAUUUUUUCCAUAUAAGGACAUUGUAAUCUAUUAGCAUAUACCAAAUUUAUCAUCCAAUUAAAUUGCUUGCAUUUUAACACAGAAUAAAUGUUAUUAAUUUGAUAAAGUGCUUAAAGAUUAAUAUGAGUACAGUGCGUAAAUUUUUCGGAAUUAUAUAAUGGCAUAAUUAUCAUUAAUUUUUGUGUUUAUUAUAUGCACUUGUAUGAUUAACAAGUCGAAAGAUUCAGGAUACCUUCGGGACCCGUCUUGAAACACGGACCAAGGAGUCUAACAUAUGUGCAAGUUAUUGGGAAAUAAACCUAAUAGCGUAAUUAACUUGACUAAUAAUGGGAUUAGCUUUUUAACUAUUUAUAGCUAAUUAACACAAUCCCGGGGCGUUCUAUAUAGUUAUGUAUAAUGUAUAUUUAUAUUAUUUAUUCCUCUAACUGGAACGUACCUUGAGCAUAUAUGCUGUGACCCGAAAGAUGGUGAACUAUAUUUGAUCAGGUUGAAGUCAGGGGAAACCCUGAUGGAAGACCGAAACAGUUCUGACGUGCAAAUCGAUUGUCAGAAUUGAGUAUAGGGGCGAAAGACCAAUCGAACCAUCUAGUAGCUGGUUCCUUCCGAAGUUUCCCUCAGGAUAGCUGGUGCAUUUUAAUAUUAUAUAAAAUAAUCUUAUCUGGUACACCGAAUGAUUAGAGGCCUUAGGGUCGAAACGAUCUUAACCUAUUCUCAAACUUUAAAUGGGUAAGAACCUUAACUUUCUUGAUAUGAAGUUCAAGGUUAUGAUAUAAUGUGCCAAGUGGGCCACUUUUGGUAAGCAGAACUGGCGCUGUGGGAUGAACCAAACGUAAUGUUACGGUACCCAAAUUAACAACUCAUGCAGAUACCAUGAAAGGCGUUGGUUGCUUAAAACAGCAGGACGGUGAUCAUGGAAGGCGAAAUCCGCUAAGCAGUAUGUAACAACUCACCUGCCAAAGCAACUAGCCCUUAAAAUGGAUGGCGCUUAAGUAAAGUAAGAUGUAAGUUAAGUAGAUGAUUUAUAUUACUUGUGAUAUAAAUUUUGAAACUUUAGUGAGUAGGAAGCUACAAUGGUAUGCGUAGAAGUUUUUGGCGAUCUUGGUGGUAGUAGCAAAUAAUCGGCUGAGACCUUUGAGGACUGAAGUGGAGAAGGGUUUCGUGUGAACAGUGGUUGAUCACGAGUUAGUCGGUCCUAAGUUCAAGGCGAAACCCGAAAAUUUUAAGUAAAACAAAAAUGCUAAGUUAUAUAAACAAAGCGAAAAUAAUACACUUGAAUAAUUUUUAACGAAAGGAAAUACGGUUCCAAUUCCGUAACCUGGUUAGUAUCCGUUUGUUAUUAAAUAUGGGCCAUAUGGCAACAGGAACGACCAUAAAGAAGCCGUCGAGAGAUAUCGGAAGAGUUUUCUUUUCUGUUUUAUAGCCGUACUACCAUGAAAGUCUUUCGCAGAGAGAUAUGGUAGAUGGGCUAGAAGAGCAUGACAUAUACUGUUGUGUCGAUAUUUUCUCCUCGCACCUUGAAAAUUUAUGGUGGGGACACGCAAACUUCUCAACAGGCCGUACCAAUAUCCGCAGCUGGUCUCCAAGGUGAAGAGUCUCUAGUCGAUAGAAUUAUGUAGGUAAGGGAAGUCGACAAAUUAGAUCCGUAACUUCGGGAUAAGGAUUGGCUCUGAAGAUUGAGAUAGUCGGGCUUGAUUGGGAAACAAUAACAUGGUUUAUGUGCUCGUUCUGGGUAAAUAGAGUUUCUAGCAUUUAUGUUAGUUACUUGUUCCCCGGAUAGUUUAGUUACGUAGCCAAUUGUGGAACUUUCUUGCUAAAAUUUUUAAGAAUACUAUUUAAGUUAAACCAAUUAGUUCUUAUUAAUUAUAACGAUUAUAAAUUAACAAUCAAUUCAGAACUGGCACGGACUUGGGGAAUUGGACUGUCUAAUUAAAACAAAGAUGGCCCUAGCGGGUGUUGACACAAUGUGAUUUCUGCCCAGUGCUCUGAAUGUCAAAGUGAAAAAAUUCAAGUAAGCGCUGGUCAACGGCGGGAGUAACUAUGACUCUCUUAAGGUAGCCAAAUGCCUCGUCGUCUAAUUAGUGACGCGCUUGAAUGGAUUAACGAGAUUCCUACCGUCCCUAUCUACUUACUGUCAGUGACGGACGUGUUUUCUACGAGCUCCCAUUAAUACGGUCGUUUUUUGAGUAAAUCCGCGGAUUUAUACUUUGAAAAACGGAUUAAAGUGUGUGUGAAGGUGUCGCGAACAUAAGUUGAAAAAUUUGUGAGCGAAAGUACAUCGCGUGUCGCGGAAAUCAACAAUUUUCAAUCGAAAAUUUCCGAGAAAUUUCUGGAAUUUCUCUGCGAAAGAGGCGUUAGCCCUUUUCGUGUGGGAUUUUCUCAGCACCAGCUGAUCGGUUCCGAACUUUGCUAUUGGAACAUUAUGUAUGUAUGUAUGAAUUGGAACAUUUUAGUGCUGCCAUACCGAGCAAUUGGUGGCGCCACUGUUAAUAGGUGGAGCCAGUGCGUCAUAGCAACCAGCCUCUGUCAGCAAGCCAAAGUUGCUGGACUCGACAAAAGGAGGAGCUACUUUUAUCGGGUAAGUCCGAUGGAGAGCGACAGCAGUGCGAGCGCCAUGAGCGCCAGCAGUGCGUCGAAGAAGUCUACGCGUCGCAGGCAUAGAAGCCUACUGACUUCGAAGAGCUCGGCGCCAACGCAGGCGAAGCUGGUUGCCGUGGCGGCGAAUGGGGUUCCCAUUGUUCAGCUUACUGCCAAUUAGAUGUACCUUUGGAACCUUACCUUCGGUACAUGGAUGCGAUCCUGCUACAGGCUAUCAGAACCCCUGCAAUACUGGGCCUUGACGCGAAUGUAGUGUCCCCCAUGUGGUUUGCCAAACUCUCUCGGCAUGUCGAGGGGCAAGCUAACUACAGUCGGGGUGAGCUGC
RNAcentral lists this ribosomal RNA (3965 nucleotides) under Drosophila erecta. RNAcentral describes it as "eukaryotic LSU rRNA". The stretch from base 570 to 3221 matches the Rfam family "Eukaryotic large subunit ribosomal RNA". Lineage: Eukaryota; Metazoa; Arthropoda; Insecta; Diptera; Drosophilidae. The record is from RNAcentral.